Molecule: non-coding RNA, 1348 nt
Organism: Misgurnus anguillicaudatus (oriental weatherfish)
Lineage: Eukaryota; Metazoa; Chordata; Actinopteri; Cypriniformes; Cobitidae
Source: RefSeq, a predicted model, not a curated record
UACAGUAACCAUAUCUAACCAAGCUUCAUGUACCAAGAUAAUUAUUUCAUUUAUUUCUCAUCAGAUCAACUGUUCAUUUAUGCAGUUUAUGCUUUAUUUAUAGGUAGCAUAACUGUUACCUUUUUUUUACAGUUCUGCAUAUAUAAUAUGACAAACCUAGGAGACUUUGCUGUAAGAGAAUUAAUCAUGUUUUUGUUUUCUUUUCUCAGGUCCGGUCAGUACCCACCACCCUUCCCUGUUCACCCACAGUUUAUACUUUUUCUUAGAAAACCAACGGCUCUUUUAAGAGCCACUUCAAUAGACCCUUUUACAGCCCACGUGAUCAAAUAGCCUGCGUGCGCAUUUUGGCAACGGAAGUGAUGUUAUUUCCCAGUGGUUCUAACGUGUAAGCAACUCAGAAAGUUUAUUAAAACGAUUUCCCCACAUCAAAACGUCUGGUUGUAGCAUUUGGUUGCACUAAUAUAAUAUAUGUUUAGUAUUUGGCCAUCUUCUAACGUCUUCUAUCCACUCCACUAUAGUACACGGAUCUGGUAACUGUGUAGAAGAUAAGUCAACUUUUUAAACUAACUUUCUCUGUCUGUGUUGCUUCACUGCUGAUUCUUGCCGUGCUUCCGUUGCCAAACUGCGUGCGCAUACGUUGCCACGUCAUCAUUGUGUACAAACAGUAAAAGGGUCACUCACUCACUCACUCACUUCACUCACUCUUUCGCAAGCUUCUCUGUUUUCAAGUAUUGUAAUUUUAUUCAUUUUACUCUCUCUCUCACUGUCCAAAACACUUAGCCUAUGCCUCUUUGUCUGACCAAUGUAGUAUUGUUGAAAUGGCUGCUGAGCAAGACAGAGGGAGAGCAAAGGAUGUUAUUUUCAUAGCAGACAUGCUUCUUGCUCAAAUCAAGGCAGAGGAACCCAAGGGCAAAGCAACAGCCAUUAAAGGGAGUACAUUUAAUGUCCGAUAGGUGGAGAAAAUGCUGAAGGACGUCCACUACUAAAAAGCAGCAGAAGUGAAGAGAUACAAAGCUUCAGCUACAGUCUGUUUAUUGCCUACAGUGAGACCUCCACAUUUCUGCACUUGUGAUCAUGCAAACAUCCAGUGUAGAGCACUUCACCUGCCCGGCAUGUACACCCAACAAUGCUCGCUCUUUGUGCAGAUGGCAACAGAAAAACCUACAGAUUCCUUCAGUCAAAAGAAAGGAGCUUCAAGCAGCCACAAACGGAGAGUUCUUUUGAACAGAUAUUGCUUGCAAGUAUUGGCCAUACCUUGAGAAGGCGUCAGUCUCCAUGUUGGAACUCAGACCUUUACUGCAGAUGAGACCUUUCCUUUCUGUCAUGCAUGCCAAGGCUCAUUCAACCA